GUUAAGCGACUAAGCGUACACGGUGGAUGCCCUGGCAGUCAGAGGCGAUGAAGGACGUGCUAAUCUGCGAUAAGCGUCGGUAAGGUGAUAUGAACCGUUAUAACCGGCGAUUUCCGAAUGGGGAAACCCAGUGUGAUUCGUCACACUAUCAUUAACUGAAUCCAUAGGUUAAUGAGGCGAACCGGGGGAACUGAAACAUCUAAGUACCCCGAGGAAAAGAAAUCAACCGAGAUUCCCCCAGUAGCGGCGAGCGAACGGGGAGCAGCCCAGAGCCUGAAUCAGUGUGUGUGUUAGUGGAAGCGUCUGGAAAGGCGCGCGAUACAGGGUGACAGCCCCGUACACAAAAAUGCACAUGCUGUGAGCUCGAUGAGUAGGGCGGGACACGUGGUAUCCUGUCUGAAUAUGGGGGGACCAUCCUCCAAGGCUAAAUACUCCUGACUGACCGAUAGUGAACCAGUACCGUGAGGGAAAGGCGAAAAGAACCCCGGCGAGGGGAGUGAAAAAGAACCUGAAACCGUGUACGUACAAGCAGUGGGAGCACAGAGCAAUCUGUGUGACUGCGUACCUUUUGUAUAAUGGGUCAGCGACUUAUAUUCUGUAGCAAGGUUAACCGAAUAGGGGAGCCGAAGGGAAACCGAGUCUUAACUGGGCGUUAAGUUGCAGGGUAUAGACCCGAAACCCGGUGAUCUAGCCAUGGGCAGGUUGAAGGUUGGGUAACACUAACUGGAGGACCGAACCGACUAAUGUUGAAAAAUUAGCGGAUGACUUGUGGCUGGGGGUGAAAGGCCAAUCAAACCGGGAGAUAGCUGGUUCUCCCCGAAA
Molecule: ribosomal RNA, 822 nt
Filed under: Escherichia coli
Lineage: Bacteria; Pseudomonadati; Pseudomonadota; Gammaproteobacteria; Enterobacterales; Enterobacteriaceae
Description: partial 23S ribosomal RNA
Rfam family: Bacterial large subunit ribosomal RNA
Source: RNAcentral